RNAcentral lists this long non-coding RNA (1060 nucleotides) under Canis lupus familiaris (dog). RNAcentral's name for it is "lncRNA (ENSCAFG00040019181.1)". Lineage: Eukaryota; Metazoa; Chordata; Mammalia; Carnivora; Canidae. The record is from RNAcentral.
GUGUGUGAAGCACUGUUUUAUAUGCUCUAUUUAAUUGGAUCUCCCCCACAAUCCCAUGAAGUAGAUCCUGUCAUUAGCCCUCUUCACAAGUGAGACACAAAGAAAGGUAAAAUGAUUUACCCAAACUCACAGGGAACGUCAGACUUUGGAUCCAGGAGGUGUGACACCACAGCUCACGCGGCAAGUGUUAGGCUGUACCACAGCUGAUUUUUUUUAAAUUUUUAUUUUAUUAUUUUAUUUUAUUUAUGAUAGGCACACAGUGAGAGAGAGAGAGAAGCAGAGACAUAGGCAGAGGGAGAAGCAGGCUCCGUGCACCGGGAGCCCGAUGUGGGAUUCGAUCCUGGGUCUCCAGGAUCGUGCCCUGGGCCAAAGGCAGGCGCCAAACCGCAGGGAUCCCCUGUACCACAGCUGAUUGACGUAACAUCAUUACCUACAACCAGAGCACACUUCCUUUCCCUUCGUGGGGCACUCGAAUGCGGCCUUCUGGAAAAACCUGCUCAAGUCCUCCUGGCGAUACUAAGCAAAUUCAUCAGUCCCUCCCUCUUGCUGGUUUUCACCUCUGGAAGAGGGAAUGGCUGGUGCUGCCUGCGGGACCCCACUGUGGCCUCCAGAGGCGCAGUCGAGCAUACUUUAUUUUUCCAUUAAUAUUCUGUUAUUAUUCAGAGUAAUAGGAAGAAGAGCAUUGGAGCCAUGGGUGGCACCGCCAAGGGUGGAGACAGAUGGGGCAAAGGAGAGCAACAAAGGACCGGAAUAGAAGCGAUGAUAAGAGCUGCUGUCCUAUUUUGGAAAAGAGAGAGCUGGACACAGAAGGCAUUCUCAGGGUGCCCGGAUCCCAGGCCAGGGUCAAGGUAAUGGUGUGGUUUCCCCCACAUCUUCGAGGCUGCAUCUCCCGAGUUAAGCCAGGGGAGAACCCAGUUCCCAGAUUGUCCGUGUUCUGUCUUGGGUCCUGUUUGGGUCAGGGAGUUCCAGGAGGGUUGAAGGCAGGGAGGCGACACAGUAUGGCGCAGGGGUGGAGCUGCGGGCCUGGAGUCAGCCUGCCAACAUUUAUUGGGUGAAACCC